CAGAUGAACGCUGGCGGCGUGCCUAAUACAUGCAAGUCGAGCGAACAGACGAGGAGCUUGCUCCUCUGACGUAGCGGCGGACGGGUGAGUAACACGUGGAUAACCUACCUAUAAGACUGGGAUAACUUCGGGAAACCGGAGCUAAUACCGGAUAACAUGUUGAACCGCAUGGUUCAACAGUGAAAGACGGUCUUGCUGUCACUUAUAGAUGGAUCCGCGCCGCAUUAGCUAGUUGGUAAGGUAACGGCUUACCAAGGCAACGAUGCGUAGCCGACCUGAGAGGGUGAUCGGCCACACUGGAACUGAGACACGGUCCAGACUCCUACGGGAGGCAGCAGUAGGGAAUCUUCCGCAAUGGGCGAAAGCCUGACGGAGCAACGCCGCGUGAGUGAAGAAGGUCUUCGGAUCGUAAAACUCUGUUAUUAGGGAAGAACAAAUGUGUAAGUAACUAUGCACGUCUUGACGGUACCUAAUCAGAAAGCCACGGCUAACUACGUGCCAGCAGCCGCGGUAAUACGUAGGUGGCAAGCGUUAUCCGGAAUUAUUGGGCGUAAAGCGCGCGUAGGCGGUUUUUUAAGUCUGAUGUGAAAGCCCACGGCUCAACCGUGGAGGGUCAUUGGAAACUGGAAAACUUGAGUGCAGAAGAGGAAAGUGGAAUUCCAUGUGUAGCGGUGAAAUGCGCAGAGAUAUGGAGGAACACCAGUGGCGAAGGCGACUUUCUGGUCUGUAACUGACGCUGAUGUGCGAAAGCGUGGGGAUCAAACAGGAUUAGAUACCCUGGUAGUCCACGCCGUAAACGAUGAGUGCUAAGUGUUAGGGGGUUUCCGCCCCUUAGUGCUGCAGCUAACGCAUUAAGCACUCCGCCUGGAGACGCCCAGUGU
Molecule: ribosomal RNA, 881 nt
Filed under: Staphylococcus sp. M_A_09/11_6_2
Lineage: Bacteria; Bacillati; Bacillota; Bacilli; Caryophanales; Staphylococcaceae
Description: bacterial SSU rRNA
Rfam family: Bacterial small subunit ribosomal RNA
Source: RNAcentral